CCACACCGCUGCGGGCCCGCCCCGCAGCGCCCUGCGGCGUCCUUCCCAAAUCGGCGGUCCCCAGGCACCGUCUGCGGCUGUGACGGGGUCGCUUAGAGCUGUCGGGAGAGACUACCAGGCCACUGUCGCCAAGAAACGCUAGUGCAGCCACAUGGCUACUGCCAGUUAUGCAGCGAGGAUAUCCGGUGGCUGCAAAGUCUGUAAUUUAGAAAAGAAAGAGCUCUUCCAAGACCCGAGAGGCUGACCUCAGCGAGGCGUGGCGGUGGUGCGCUUGGCAGCGUCGAAGGAGACGGCCCAGGUUGUGACAGAUGAAAACCAAGCAAGUCUGUAAAUGUGAGUUACGUCUCAACACAUUCUACAUAAAAUUGCCAGUGAAGCAUUAAGUCCAAAUCCCCUGUCUCCAGUCUAAAGAAGAUUCAACACACUAGGUCACACAGUUGGUUGUGAAGACUGAAUGAGAUGCUAUGUGAUUCUUGUAGGAAAGUUAGAACAAUCUACAAACGUGCAACUGUAGUCAAGAAUAAAUUACUAUUGCUACAUAUAGAUACAGAACAUACCUCACCUAUAUAUCCUCCAGCUACAAAGUAAAGCCGACUGCUAAUUGAAAAAGAAACAUCUCGGGCCUGGAGAGCGGGGGCUGGGAGAAGAGAGAGUAGGUGUCACCGGCAACCUGGCAUUGGGAACGUCUUGGGGAUAAGCAGGCAGAGUGCCCUGCUGAGACUUCUAGAGCAGUGCUUUCUGCAGAUGGCCACUCUCGUUCACUUUCAGUCAGUGAAGAUCUACAUCCUUGGGUCUUCUUGCUCCCUGAUCUGGCUGCUACCACUUACUAUACACAGCAAAUAAAAUAAAA
This is a long non-coding RNA of Suricata suricatta (meerkat), 850 nucleotides long. RefSeq lists it as uncharacterized. The transcript is spliced from 7 exons. NCBI's taxonomy places the organism in Eukaryota, Metazoa, Chordata, Mammalia, Carnivora, Herpestidae. The record is from RefSeq and is a predicted model, not a curated record.